CACUCAGCUGCUCCUGAGGAUGCAAGGUUGAGAAGAGCUCUCUUUCAUCCCUGGAGAGAUUUUAUUGAGCUGGAAUAACCUGUGAGCACUCUUCAGCAUGCUGUGAAGCAAUAUAGCUGUGGCACAGAGCCUCUCUCGUCCCCUCUCUCUGGUGAAAGCUGUGGUGCUGCAGGGAAAUCACAGGCAAUUUGGGAUGCUGGAUCUGUUCUCCUGGAUGUUGUAACCAAGGCUGGCAGCCAAAGACACAAAAACGGCUCCUUGAGAGCAGUUUUGAGCAUUUAUGGUCCCAGGAGAUCUGUUUGCUUUGAAGGUGAUGCUGAUGAAGGCCUUGGUGAUUAUAAAUAAGGUUCUCAAAGCCCACAUAAA
This is a long non-coding RNA of Pogoniulus pusillus (Red-fronted tinkerbird), 366 nucleotides long. RefSeq lists it as uncharacterized. The transcript is spliced from 3 exons. Lineage: Eukaryota; Metazoa; Chordata; Aves; Piciformes; Lybiidae. The record is from RefSeq and is a predicted model, not a curated record.